CGUAUGGAUUAAAGCUUUAUGCGCUUUGGAGGGGCCUGCGUAACAUUAGCUAGUUGGUGAGGUAAAAGCUCACCAAGGCUUCGAUGUUUAACUGGUUUGAGAGGAUGACCAGUCACACUGGGACUGAGAUACGGCCCAGACUCCUACGGGAGGCAGCAGUAAGGAAUCCUCCACAAUGGGGCAACCCUGAUGGAGCAAUACCGCGUGCAGGAUGAAGCGUUUCGGCGUGUAAACUGCUUUUAUCACCGAAGAUUAUGACUGUAGGUGAAGAAUAAGGACCGGCUAACUACGUG
This 293-nucleotide ribosomal RNA is filed under the name uncultured bacterium. RNAcentral's name for it is "partial 16S ribosomal RNA". It matches the Rfam family "Bacterial small subunit ribosomal RNA", at positions 193 to 507 of the family's 1533-position model. The record is from RNAcentral.